AAACAAAAGAAGAAAAAUA
This 19-nucleotide small RNA is filed under the name Arabidopsis thaliana (thale cress). RNAcentral describes it as "ATSL078440". Lineage: Eukaryota; Viridiplantae; Streptophyta; Magnoliopsida; Brassicales; Brassicaceae. The record is from RNAcentral.